RNAcentral lists this ribosomal RNA (423 nucleotides) under uncultured bacterium. RNAcentral describes it as "bacterial SSU rRNA". It matches the Rfam family "Bacterial small subunit ribosomal RNA", at positions 360 to 773 of the family's 1533-position model. The record is from RNAcentral.
AAUCUUCCGCAAUGGACGAAAGUCUGACGGAGCAACGCCGCGUGAGUGAUGAAGGUUUUCGGAUCGUAAAACUCUGUUGUUAGGGAAGAACAAGUAUCGUUCGAAUAGGGCGGUACCUUGACGGUACCUAACCAGAAAGCCACGGCUAACUACGUGCCAGCAGCCGCGGUGAUACGUAGGGGGCGAGCGUUGUCCGGAUUCACUGGGCGUAAAGGGCGCGUAGGCGGUUCCGUAAGUCAGGCGUGAAAGCUCACGGCUCAACUGUGGACGUGCGUCUGAUACUGCGGUGACUUGAGGUCGGUAGAGGUAAGUGGAACUAGCGGUGUAGCGGUGAAAUGCGCAGAUAUCGCUAGGAACGCCGGUGGCGAAGGCGACUUGCUGGGCCGUACCUGACGCUGAUGCGCGAAAGCUAGGGGAGCGAAC